This 427-nucleotide ribosomal RNA is filed under the name uncultured prokaryote. RNAcentral describes it as "bacterial SSU rRNA". It matches the Rfam family "Bacterial small subunit ribosomal RNA", at positions 355 to 774 of the family's 1533-position model. The record is from RNAcentral.
UGGGGAAUUUUGGACAAUGGGGGCAACCCUGAUCCAGCCAUGCCGCGUGCGGGAAGAAGGCCUUCGGGUUGUAAACCGCUUUUGUCGGGGAAGAAACGGUCUGCGCUAAUACCGCGGGCUAAUGACGGUACCCGAAGAAUAAGCACCGGCUAACUACGUGCCAGCAGCCGCGGUAAUACGUAGGGUGCAAGCGUUAAUCGGAAUUACUGGGCGUAAAGCGUGCGCAGGCGGCUUUGCAAGACAGAUGUGAAAUCCCCGGGCUUAACCUGGGAACUGCAUUUGUGACUGCAUGGCUGGAGUGCGGCAGAGGGGGAUGGAAUUCCGCGUGUAGCAGUGAAAUGCGUAGAUAUGCGGAGGAACACCGAUGGCGAAGGCAAUCCCCUGGGCCUGCACUGACGCUCAUGCACGAAAGCGUGGGGAGCAAACA